UAAAAAUAAAAUAAAAUAAAAUAACCAUUUACCAGAGACUGAUCCCCUUUUAAGCAGCUGUAUGCAAAAUCCAAGAAAAUUGGUUCUACUUUCAGUUUUAUGAAUCUCAAACAUAAUCUAGUAGGAAGGCUUACUAGAGAUUUAUCCCCUGGUAGACAUGUUAUGAUAAACUAUUAGGCACAAGAUGAAUACAGAGAAAGAUUCACUUGGUGAUACUUUAACAGGAAAGCAAGGUUAGAAUAGCUAUAAAUGUCAAGUAGCCAAGGAUUGAUGAAAAAAAGCUUUUCUAGAUAAAGAGUAUUGAUUGUUCCAAACUCAUCAAGACAAAAGAAACCCGAAGGGCAAUUGUAUGUACUUUUGGAAACUCAAGCAAGGUGUCCAAAACUGACAAUCUAAUUUACUUCCUAACCUUUUGGCUAUAGAUCAGCAACAAUCAGGUUACAAGCUAAUCAUGGUCA
Molecule: unclassified non-coding RNA, 458 nt
Filed under: Hevea brasiliensis (rubber tree)
Lineage: Eukaryota; Viridiplantae; Streptophyta; Magnoliopsida; Malpighiales; Euphorbiaceae
Source: RNAcentral